Long non-coding RNA from Bombina bombina (fire-bellied toad), 509 nucleotides. RefSeq lists it as uncharacterized. Lineage: Eukaryota; Metazoa; Chordata; Amphibia; Anura; Bombinatoridae. The record is from RefSeq and is a predicted model, not a curated record. The transcript has 4 exons.
CAGACUCCUCAUCAGCACCAUGAAGAACCUAAGCCUGUACAUUUUUCUCUUCUUUGCUAUCAUCCUCGUAGUCCUGCCAUGGGCUUCUGGGCAUAUAAUCAAUAAACGUGGUGUGAGAUGCCCCUCUAUUUCAAAAUGUCAACAAAAAAGUAAAGACAGAUGCCAGCGGGACAGUGACUGUUCUUCUAGAAACCUAUGCUGUAAUACUGGCUGCAACAUGGAUUGUUUAAGCCCCAUUGAAGUGGAUAUACCCUCAUUUGAUUGUCCAUCAAUAAACUGGUCCAAAAUUGUUCUGUCCAUCAAGUAAUAAAAAUCAGUGUCAGCGCCAUAACGAAUGUGGAGGAGGAGGAAAAUGCUGUAGCACUGGCUGUAAAUAUGAAUGUGUGGGUGAUAAUAAAGGAUCAUCUUGGUUUCCAUUUCCAUUCCCUUUCCUUGGUUAUGUAAAAGCUCCUGUAUAAAUAUACUAAAUUUUCCAGUAAAUCACAUUUUUUAUACAACCACACACAGAG